UGUGAAUUGCAGAAUCCCGUGAACCAUCGAGUUUUUGAACGCAAGUUGCGCCCGAAGCCAUUCGGCUGAGGGCACGUCUGCCUGGGCGUCACGC
Molecule: ribosomal RNA, 94 nt
Filed under: Corethrogyne filaginifolia var. linifolia
Lineage: Eukaryota; Viridiplantae; Streptophyta; Magnoliopsida; Asterales; Asteraceae
Also listed under: 1 other name
Description: partial 5.8S ribosomal RNA
Rfam family: 5.8S ribosomal RNA
About the family: 5.8S ribosomal RNA (5.8S rRNA) is a component of the large subunit of the eukaryotic ribosome. It is transcribed by RNA polymerase I as part of the 45S precursor that also contains 18S and 28S rRNA. Functionally, it is thought that 5.8S rRNA may be involved in ribosome translocation.
Source: RNAcentral